This 433-nucleotide ribosomal RNA is filed under the name uncultured bacterium. RNAcentral's name for it is "partial 16S ribosomal RNA". It matches the Rfam family "Bacterial small subunit ribosomal RNA", at positions 29 to 507 of the family's 1533-position model. The record is from RNAcentral.
GCGAACGCUGGCGGCAGGCCUCACACCUGCCAGUCGCACGAACCUUUCGGGGUUAGUGGCGGACGGGUGAGUAACACGUGGGAACGUGCCUUUAGGUUCGGAAUAACUCAGGGAAACUUGUGCUAAUACCGAAUGUGCCCUUCGGGGGAAAGAUUAAUCGCCUUUAGAGCGGCCCGCGUCUGAUUAGCUAGUUGGUUGAGGUAAUGGCUCACCAAGGCGACGAUCAGUAGCUGGUCUGAGAGGAUGAUCAGCCACAUUGGGACUGAGACACGGCCCAAACUCCUACGGGAGGCAGCAGUGGGGAAUCUUGCGCAAUGGGCGAAAGCCUGACGCAGCCAUGCCGCGUGAAUGAUGAAGGUCUUAGGAUUGUAAAAUUCUUUCACCGGGGACGAUAAUGACGGUACCCGGAGAAGAAGCCCCGGCUAACUUCGUG